CAAGUAGGGCGUGAAAGCGUAUGGCUCAACCAUAUAAACAUGUCCUAAACUGCAAAGCUAGAAUGUAGGAGAGGUAGCUGGAAUUCCUAGUGUAGGAGUGAAAUCCGUAGAUAUUAGGAGGAACACCGAUGGCGUAGGCAGGCUACUGGCCUAUUAUUGACGCUAAGGCACGAAAGCGUGGGGAGCAAACGGGAUUAGAUACCCCGGUAGUCCACGCCGUAAACGAUGGAUGCUA
RNAcentral lists this ribosomal RNA (235 nucleotides) under uncultured Candidatus Saccharibacteria bacterium. RNAcentral describes it as "partial 16S ribosomal RNA". It matches the Rfam family "Bacterial small subunit ribosomal RNA", at positions 584 to 818 of the family's 1533-position model. The record is from RNAcentral. Lineage: Bacteria; Candidatus Saccharimonadota.